This 207-nucleotide ribosomal RNA is filed under the name uncultured bacterium. RNAcentral describes it as "partial 16S ribosomal RNA". It matches the Rfam family "Bacterial small subunit ribosomal RNA", at positions 568 to 774 of the family's 1533-position model. The record is from RNAcentral.
CGCGUAGGCGGUCUGAUAAGUCAGUUGUGAAAGCCCGGGGCUCAACCCCGGAAGUGCAAUUGAAACUGUCAGGCUUGAGUAUGGUAGAGGGAAGUGGAAUUCCUGGUGUAGCGGUGAAAUGCGUAGAUAUCAGGAGGAACACCGGUGGCGAAGGCGACUUCCUGGACCAAUACUGACGCUGAGGCGCGAAGGUGUGGGGAGCAAACA